Chinchilla lanigera (long-tailed chinchilla) is the source of this 1141-nucleotide RNA transcript. It is a transcript of the gene named zinc finger protein 511, with no coding region annotated. The record is from RefSeq and is a predicted model, not a curated record. The transcript has 7 exons. Lineage: Eukaryota; Metazoa; Chordata; Mammalia; Rodentia; Chinchillidae.
GCCCGGGCGCCCAGGGUGAUGCUACUGCCUUCCGCGCUUCGGGCUCGCCUGGCUGGGGCGCCUGGGGCAGCCGAGCCGCUGCCAGUGGAGCGGAGCCCCGCGGCCCGAGCGGCGCCCUUCGGCUUCGUGCCGCGCCCAGUGCGUUUCCCGAGGGAACACGAGUUCUUCGAGGACGGGGACGUGCAGCGGCACCUGUACCUGCAGGAUGUGAUCACACAGGUGGCCGAGGCCCCAGAGAAGUCCAGGGUACCCGAGUUCACCUGUCAGGUGGCCGGCUGCUGCCAGGUGUUUGCUGCGCUGGAGGACUACCAGCACCACUACCAUAUGAUGCAUGGGAACGCCUGCUCCCUGUGUAGCCGGGCCUUCCCUUCUGAGCACUUGCUGGACGCCCACAUUUUGGAAUGGCAUGAUUCACUCUUCCAGGUCCUGGCAGAAAGACAAGACAUGUACCAGUGCCUGGUUGAAGGCUGCCGUGAGAAAUUCAAGAAUACCCAGGACCGGAAGGAUCACAUGGUGAGGCUCCAUCUCUACCCUGCAGAUUUCCGGUUUGAUAAGCCCAAGACCAGCAGAGGCCCAUCCAUGCCAGGGGCCAUUGCAGACCUGUCCACCAGAACCCUAGCUGAUGAUGGGGAUGCUAUGGAAGUGUGCCCCUCACCCAUGACUCUGUCCUCAGCACCCGUGAGUGAGAAGCGGACCUAUAGUCACAGAGUACCUUCUACCAUCUGUUUUGGACAGGGUGCAUUGAGAGGGUUUAAAAGCACCAAGAAAAAAAAUAAACAUCACUGAUGGGGAGAAAGAACCAAGCAUCUGAGCAGACCGGGGCAGAAGACCAUGGUUGCCUGCAGGAGAUGGAACAGAGUGACCCCUCCUAAAAGUGAUCUAUGGAGACCAAAGGUCAUGAGACCUCUCUACAGCAUUAGGGAACAGACCAGCGCUCACUGCAAACUGAGGCCUUCACAGCCUGAAGAGUAAGUGUGUCACUGGCCAUACUUAUGAUGAGCCCAAGAGUGUCCUUUCAGCUGGGUUGGCUCUUUGCAUGCAGGGCUGCUCCAGGACACCAUCUGGGUGGACACUGUUUCCUCAGUACAACUCCUGGCUGCUGCAGGCCUCCCUCUUUCACCAAAGAGGAAGAUGUUACUGG